RNAcentral lists this small RNA (166 nucleotides) under Lachnoclostridium phytofermentans. Its description in RNAcentral is "M-box riboswitch (ykoK leader)". It matches the Rfam family "M-box riboswitch aptamer (ykoK leader)". From Rfam's summary of the family: M-box riboswitch, also know as ykoK leader is described as a metaloregulatory RNA that sense divalent metals and function as a genetic control element of genes related to divalent metal transport in bacteria. It was first reported upstream of the B.subtilis ykoK gene and genes with related functions in other bacteria. The record is from RNAcentral. Lineage: Bacteria; Bacillati; Bacillota; Clostridia; Lachnospirales; Lachnospiraceae.
AACUUCGGUAGGUGAGGCUACCGCAGGGAUAUGGAUUGCUACCGCGAAAUAAUGGAGACACUAUUAGUUGGUUAGCAGGUUGUGUCGAAUCAAGGCAUAACCUAACGCAAUUUCAAGGCACCUAAAUGGAUGCCAUGCCCUGCGAUGCUAAAGCUUGAACGGUUGA